This 58-nucleotide transfer RNA is filed under the name Morganella psychrotolerans. RNAcentral describes it as "tRNA-Lys". It matches the Rfam family "tRNA", at positions 8 to 63 of the family's 71-position model. From Rfam's summary of the family: Transfer RNA (tRNA) molecules are approximately 80 nucleotides in length. Their secondary structure includes four short double-helical elements and three loops (D, anti-codon, and T loops). The record is from RNAcentral. Lineage: Bacteria; Pseudomonadati; Pseudomonadota; Gammaproteobacteria; Enterobacterales; Morganellaceae.
UAGCUCAGUCGGUAGAGCAGUUGACUUUUAAUCAAUUGGUCACAAGUUCGAAUCUUGU